CGCGCGACGAGGGUGAAGAAUGUGAAAGACUAGGAAAGAGUGAGAAUAAGAAACAGGCAGACAGGAGACACGGAAACUCCGACAGCUUCUCAUUAGACCGCACUGGGGCCACAGUUAGAAAUCAAUGGCCUUGCGCUUCAAGGGCGGACAGCUAGGGCAGUUAAGGGACCCGCGGGGCAGCCCCAAGCCAGUACCCCUCUCUUAAAGGGGAAGCGUCCUUUCUGGGAAGGGCUUUAAGAAAUGGAGCUCCAGCGGCUGGAGGCAAUUAAUGAGGAAUGACCUGGUCAAAAGACAAGAAGAGGACUUUGAGGAGAGGCAAAGUCCUGGAUAAAGAAAACUACAGGGAGUUCCCAUCAUCACUCAGAGGAUGCCAAGGAUAUUUCAUAAGCAAACUGACAUAAUUCAACUUCCUUUGGAUGGAUCCCAACAUUCUAGAACUUCUGUUUGGACCAAGUAAUUUACCAUGAGCGGAUUCAUCCUAACAUAUGGCUAUUCAAGUGUAAGAGAGUGUAAUAAGAGGAACAGGGACAUAUUCCAGUUACAGAUGUGAUUUCUAUGUAUUCAGAGGUAGGUGAAAAAGAAAUUGCGAAGUUGGCAGUGCUUCUUAUCCUUUGUACAUCUAAAGGCUGAGCUCAGUCGGCAGUGUAACCACCAAGCACAGCCUGGCACAGCUGUUCAUUCUUUCUCAUCGUCUUUUAUCUAUGUAGUGCUUUCCCCUUAAUGUGAGUCUUUGAAACUCUGAGAGCCAAGUGCUUCAUUUCCCAUCAUUCCACACCUAUGCCAAGUUUCUAAAUUGGCUUUGAUGUGCAUUUUAAAUGUCUUGGCAUCCUGCUGUCAUCAUUCCCUGGAUCUGUCCCACUCUAUGAAGCUGUGGUAUGAUUAUCACUGUCCCAAGUGAAGAGACCAGCUGCCUAUGGAAUCAUGAUGAUGUUUUGCUGCACCUUUUUGUAGUUCCUGCGUUACUGAUGACUGCUGGGGAGCACAAUGUGAGUGGGUAAGAGUUACAUGUGUUGAAAUCAUGUAGGGCUAUGUAGCUACCUGAGCUACUUUCCUUCAAUCUUGGCGUUUUAAUUCUAAAGUUUCAUUUUCAUUAUGGGUUGUAAUGGCUGCCAAGCUUAAACACUGCCAUCUUCAAAUGCUUUCUUUUCUCAGGCUGAGGAAUAAGCUUAGCAUUGUACAUAGAUUUAUAUUCUAGAUAAUGCCUUUUGGUGAGAAUUACCAUAUUUGGUGAGUAGCUCUCAGUGUGUAAUAGAUUUGUGAAAUAGAUGGUUUCUUUUUCCAAUUAAUAUAGCAUUUAAAGUUUUAAUGGCUUUCAUGAAAAAAUCCCAAAUAGAAACUGAUUUGUAGCUAAUCAUUCACCUCUGACUACAUGUUCAAUGACAUGAUUGUGUUUUUCUUGAUGUUGUUAUUUUUUUUCUUUUUUGGCUGCACCUUGGCAUAUGGAGUUGCUGGUCUAGGAGUCAGAUCUAAGACACAGCUGCAACCCAAGCCACAGCUGCUGCAAUGCUGGAUUCUUAACUCAUUGUUCUGGGCCAGGGAUUGAACCUGAGACCCAGCACUCCCAAGAAAUUACUGAUCCCAUUGUGCCACAGCAGGAACUCUGACAUGAAUGUUAUUAAAACACAUGACAGCAGUAAAAGCAAAAAUGAACACCCAAUUGCUAUCCCCCACUCCACCCAUAAAAUGCAAUUAGUGAAAACUUCUCAAAGAAAUAGGAGUCUAUUGUAAACACGUCCCUGUUUUACCUGUGCUAAUGAGAUAUUGCUCAAAAAAUGUGAUCUCAGUUUUUGUGCAUUUCUGGCUUUAAUAGUUGGAUUAAUCUCUUGAGGUACAUGAUAUCUGACCUUAAGGUACAGAAUCCAAAACUCUUAGAAUCUCUCCCAAAUGUCUCUUUGAGAUUCUUUCCCAGCAUGAAAAGGGAAGAUUAAUACUAGAAGAGAUCUUGGAUCUUAAUCCUUACAUCUGAAUAUCUACACUUUAAAUGAAAAAAGAGGAGUUCCCAUAGUGGCUUAGCAGGAACAAAUCUGUCUAGCAUCUAUGAGGAUGCAGAUUUGAUCCCUGGCCUCGUGCUCAGUGGGUUAAGGAUCCGUUGUUGCCCUGAUCUGUGGUGUAGGUCACAGAUGCGUCUUGGAUUUCACAUUGCUGUACUGUGGUGUAGGCCUGCGGCUACAGCUCUGAUUCUACUCCUAGCCUGGGAAACUCCAUAUGCUGCAGAUGCAGCCCUAAAAAGACAAAGAAAAGAAAAGAAAAGAAAAAAAAAAAGAAAGAUUCUAUAAUAAUUCAGUGCCUACUGAGUGCAAUAUACUGAUCUACUGUUCCAGGUUUUGUAGAGGAAAUCCUGCCAGGCAGGUAUGUUUGACAUUGAAUAUCCAUCUUCACUCUGCCCUCUGCCCCAAGGCUGACAUGUACAGAUUACAUCCACCAGCUUCUAAGCCCAUGGCCUCCAAUGGAAUGAACUAGUGAGGAGCCUGGGCAGAAGAUUGAUCAGAAGGAUGAAGUAGAAAGGAGGGUGACAAGGGUAUUAUUCCUCUGGACCCCUGGCUUUGCAAGGUCCUCUGACAGACUGCUCAGCAGUGACAAUAACCCACUCUCCUCUCACUGUGUGCUCUCACCUUCUGGCUCCAAUAAGCUCAUCCUUCCCUCUUUUUUAAGACCAUGUGUUUGUGACAGCUUUGCUGUUGCUGGGCUGGCCUCCUGCACUAUGCCCUGUGCAUUCCUGAUUCCCCAGUCAGACUUUUAUAAUUAGUCCCCUUAUAAAUAAAUCCUUAUUAACUUA
Molecule: non-coding RNA, 2776 nt
Organism: Sus scrofa (pig)
Lineage: Eukaryota; Metazoa; Chordata; Mammalia; Artiodactyla; Suidae
Source: RefSeq, a predicted model, not a curated record